ACGCUGGCGGCGUGGCUAAGACAUGCAGUCGUACGGUGUAGCAAUACACAGUGGCGAACGGGAGAGUAAUGAAUCGCUAAUGUGCCCCGGACUCUGGGAUAGCCAUCCGAAAGGAUGGGUAAUACCAGAUGACAUAUCUUUACCGCAUGGUAGAGAUCUCAAAGGUCCGCCGGUCUGGGAGCAGGCGAUUUCGUAUCAGCUAGUUGGUGAGGUAACGGCUCACCAAGGCGACGACGCGUAGCCGGACUGAGAGGUUGGCCGGCCUCAUUGGGACUGAGACACUGCCCAGACUCCUACGGGGGGCUGCAGUAACGAAUCUUCCGCAAUGCACGAAAGUGUGACGGAGCGACGCCGCGUGUGGGACGAAGCCCUUCGGGGUGUAAACCACUGUCAGGGGAUAGAAAGUUCUGAUCAUCCCCAGAGGAAGGCACGGCUAACUCUGUGCCAGCAGCCGCGGUAAGACAGAGGUGCCAAGCGUUAGGCGGAAUCACUGGGCUUAAAGCGUGUGUAGGCGGAUGCCUAAGUACCUUGUGAAAUCCCACGGCUCAAACCGUGGAACUGCUCGGUAUACUGGGUGUCUUGAGCUGUUCUAGGGGCUACCGGAACAAAUGGUGGACGCG
RNAcentral lists this ribosomal RNA (620 nucleotides) under uncultured bacterium. RNAcentral's name for it is "bacterial SSU rRNA". It matches the Rfam family "Bacterial small subunit ribosomal RNA", at positions 33 to 681 of the family's 1533-position model. The record is from RNAcentral.